This is a small nuclear RNA of Symphalangus syndactylus (siamang), 107 nucleotides long. NCBI's taxonomy places the organism in Eukaryota, Metazoa, Chordata, Mammalia, Primates, Hylobatidae. The record is from RefSeq and is a predicted model, not a curated record.
GUGCUCACUUCCGCAGCACAUAUACUAAAACUGGAACAACAUAGAGAAGAUUAGCAUGGCUCCUGCCCAAAAAUGGCAUGCAAAUUCAUGAAGCUUUCCGUUAGUUU